RNAcentral lists this ribosomal RNA (174 nucleotides) under uncultured bacterium. Its description in RNAcentral is "partial 16S ribosomal RNA". It matches the Rfam family "Bacterial small subunit ribosomal RNA", at positions 1327 to 1500 of the family's 1533-position model. The record is from RNAcentral.
CGGAAUUGCUGUAAUCGCGGAUCAGCAUGCCGCGGUGAAUACGUUCCCGGGCCUUGUACACACCGCCCGUCACACCAUGGGAGCCGGUAAUACCCGAAGUCAGGUAGUCCAACCUCGUGAGGACGCUGCCGAAGGUAGGAUUGGCGAACUGGGGUGAAGUCGUAACAAGGUAGC